GGCUCAGGAUGAACGCUAGCGGCAGGCUUAACACAUGCAAGUCGAGGGGUAUAGGUUUUCGGAUCUAGAGACCGGCGCCCGGGUGCGUGUGGCGUAUGCGUUCUACCUUUUCCAGGGGAAUAGCCCAGACCCUUUUAGAUUAAUGCCCCACACCCUAUAUGAAUCGCAUGGUUUCAUUUGAUUGUUCCAACUGUAAAAGAUGAGCAUGCGCCCCAUUCNNNNNNNGGAAAUGGAACGGCUUCCCCCCACUAUGAUGGGUAGGGGUCCUGAGAGGGAGAUNNNNNNNACUGGCACUGACACUGAGACCAGACUCCUACUCCAGGCGGCGGUGAGGAAUAUGGAAAUAGGGGCGCGAGCCUGAUCCUGACCUGCCGCGGGCGCGAAAAAGCUUAUAGGGUGUGGAAACUGCUUUUGCACUUGAAGAAACCCUCCCUCGUGAGGGCUUUUGCCCGUACUGUAACAAUAAGGAUCGGCUAACUCCGUGUCCGCGCCCGCGGCCAUACAGAUGAUCCAGGCGUUAUCCGGAUUCAUUGUCUUUAAAGGGUCCGGGUGCGGUUGAAUAAGUCAGUGGUGAAAUCUGGUCCCUCAACGAUCACUCGGACAUUGAUACUGAUACACUUGAACUACUAUAACCUGACUAGAAUAUGUAGUGUAGCUGUGACGUGCUUAUAUAUUACAUGGAAUACCAAUUGCAAUUGCGGGUUACUACUCACUGCAUUGACGAUUGAUGCACGAAGCGCGUGGAGCAGCGAACAUCGAUUAGAUACCCUGACACUCCACGCCCUAAACCGAUAGAUACUAGAUUGUUGGGCUCUAGUACAGUGUCUAAGCGAAAGAGAUAAAUCUCCCACCUGGCGACUACGUUCGCAAGACUGAAACUCUGAGGCAUUGACGG
Molecule: ribosomal RNA, 895 nt
Filed under: uncultured bacterium
Lineage: Bacteria
Description: bacterial SSU rRNA
Rfam family: Bacterial small subunit ribosomal RNA
Source: RNAcentral